GACAGAGGUGGCGAGCGUUGUUCGGAAUUACUGGGCUUAAAGGGCGAGUAGGCGGUGGGACAAGUCUGAUGUGGAAACCUAUGGCUUAACCAUAGAAUUGCAUUAGAAACUGUUUCACUUGAGUCAGUGAGGGGAGGGCGGAAUUCCUGGUGUAGCGGUGAAAUGCGUAGAUAUCAGGAGGAAGGCCGGUGGCGAAGGCGGCCCUCUGGCACUGUACUGACGCUGAGGCGCGAAAGCGUGGGGAG
RNAcentral lists this ribosomal RNA (245 nucleotides) under uncultured bacterium. RNAcentral's name for it is "partial 16S ribosomal RNA". It matches the Rfam family "Bacterial small subunit ribosomal RNA", at positions 524 to 768 of the family's 1533-position model. The record is from RNAcentral.